This 767-nucleotide ribosomal RNA is filed under the name uncultured bacterium. RNAcentral's name for it is "bacterial SSU rRNA". It matches the Rfam family "Bacterial small subunit ribosomal RNA", at positions 59 to 813 of the family's 1533-position model. The record is from RNAcentral.
CAGUCGAGGGGCACGGUGGUGAAGGCUUGCCUUUACCAGCCGGCGACCGGCGCACGGGUGAGUAACACGUAUGCAACCUGCCUGCCACAGCCGGAUAAUCGGGAGAAAUUCCGUCUAAUACGGCAUAAUGCACCUAUGGGACAUCCUGUUGGUGCCAAAGGUUAAUUCCGGUGGCGGAUGGGCAUGCGUCGCAUUAGUUAGUUGGCGGUGUAACGGACCACCAAGACGACGAUGCGUAGGGGUUCUGAGAGGAAGGUCCCCCACACUGGUACUGAGACACGGACCAGACUCCUACGGGAGGCAGCAGUGAGGAAUAUUGGUCAAUGGGCGGGAGCCUGAACCAGCCAAGUCGCGUGAGGGAUGACGGCCCUAUGGGUUGUAAACCUCUUUUGCCGGGGAGCAAAGUGCCGCACGUGUGCGGUUUGGAGAGUACCCGGAGAAAAAGCAUCGGCUAACUCCGUGCCAGCAGCCGCGGUAAUACGGAGGAUGCGAGCGUUAUCCGGAUUUAUUGGGUUUAAAGGGUGCGUAGGCGGACGCUUAAGUCAGCGGUAAAAUUGCGGGGCUCAACCUCGUCGAGCCGUUGAAACUGGGUGCCUUGAGUGGGCGAGAAGUACGCGGAAUGCGUGGUGUAGCGGUGAAAUGCAUAGAUAUCACGCAGAACUCCGAUUGCGAAGGCAGCGUACCGGCGCCCAACUGACGCUGAAGCACGAAGGCGUGGGUAUCGAACAGGAUUAGAUACCCUGGUAGUCCACGCAGUAAACGAUGAA